AGUGAACGCUGGCGGUAGGCCUAACACAUGCGAGUCGAACGGCAGCACAGUAAGAGCUUGCUCUUACGGGUGGCGAGUGGCGGACGGGUGAGGAAUACAUCGGAAUCUACUUUUUCGUGGGGGAUAACGUAGGGAAACUUACGCUAAUACCGCAUACGACCUACGGGUGAAAGCAGGGGAUCUUCGGACCUUGCGCGAUUGAAUGAGCCGAUGUCGGAUUAGCUAGUUGGCGGGGUAAAGGCCCACCAAGGCGACGAUCCGUAGCUGGUCUGAGAGGAUGAUCAGCCACACUGGAACUGAGACACGGUCCAGACUCCUACGGGAGGCAGCAGUGGGGAAUAUUGGACAGUGGGCGCAAGCCUGAUCCAGCCAUACCGCGUGGGUGAAGAAGGCCUUCGGGUUGUAAAGCCCUUUUGUUGGGAAAGAAAAGCAGCAGGUUAAUACCCCGCUGUUCUGACGGUACCCAAAGAAUAAGCACCGGCUAACUUCGUG
This 492-nucleotide ribosomal RNA is filed under the name uncultured bacterium. Its description in RNAcentral is "partial 16S ribosomal RNA". It matches the Rfam family "Bacterial small subunit ribosomal RNA", at positions 29 to 507 of the family's 1533-position model. The record is from RNAcentral.